Molecule: ribosomal RNA, 254 nt
Filed under: uncultured bacterium
Lineage: Bacteria
Description: partial 16S ribosomal RNA
Rfam family: Bacterial small subunit ribosomal RNA
Source: RNAcentral
UACAGAGGUCUCAAGCGUUGUUCGGAUUCAUUGGGCGUAAAGGGUGCGUAGGUGGCAUGGUAAGUCGGAUGUGAAAUCCCGGGGCUCAACCCCGGAACUGCAUUCGAUACUGCUGCGCUAGAGUACUGGGGAGGAGAUUGGAAUUUACGGUGUAGCAGUGAAAUGCGUAGAUAUCGUAAGGGAAGACCAGUGGCGAAGGCGGAUCUCUGGACAGUUACUGACACUGAGGCACGAAGGCCAGGGGAGCAAACGGG